This 602-nucleotide ribosomal RNA is filed under the name uncultured Acinetobacter sp. RNAcentral's name for it is "bacterial SSU rRNA". It matches the Rfam family "Bacterial small subunit ribosomal RNA", at positions 116 to 732 of the family's 1533-position model. The record is from RNAcentral. Lineage: Bacteria; Pseudomonadati; Pseudomonadota; Gammaproteobacteria; Moraxellales; Moraxellaceae.
CGUGAGUAACUGCCCCUGACUCUGGGAUAAGCGUUGGAAACGACGUCUAAUACCGGAUAUGACUUACGGACGCAUGUUCUGUGGGUGGAAAGAUUUUUCGAUUGGGGAUGGACUCGCGGCCUAUCAGCUUGUUGGUGAGGUAAUGGCUCACCAAGGCGACGACGGGUAGCCGGCCUGAGAGGGUGACCGGCCACACUGGGACUGAGACACGGCCCAGACUCCUACGGGAGGCAGCAGUGGGGAAUAUUGCACAAUGGGCGCAAGCCUGAUGCAGCAACGCCGCGUGAGGGACGACGGCCUUCGGGUUGUAAACCUCUUUUGGCAGGGAAGAAGCGAAAGUGACGGUACCUGCAGAAAAAGCACCGGCUAACUACGUGCCAGCAGCCGCGGUAAUACGUAGGGUGCAAGCGUUGUCCGGAAUUAUUGGGCGUAAAGAGCUCGUAGGCGGUUUGUCGCGUCUGCUGUGAAAACGCGAGGCUCAACCUCGCGCCUGCAGUGGGUACGGGCAGACUAGAGUGCGGUAGGGGAGAUUGGAAUUCCUGGUGUAGCGGUGGAAUGCGCAGAUAUCAGGAGGAACACCGAUGGCGAAGGCAGAUCUCUGG